Molecule: ribosomal RNA, 497 nt
Filed under: uncultured bacterium
Lineage: Bacteria
Description: partial 16S ribosomal RNA
Rfam family: Bacterial small subunit ribosomal RNA
Source: RNAcentral
GAUGAACGCUGGCGGCGUGCCUAAUACAUGCAAGUCGAGCGAACGGACGAGAAGCUUGCUUCUCUGAUGUUAGCGGCGGACGGGUGAGUAACACGUGGAUAACCUACCUAUAAGACUGGGAUAACUUCGGGAAACCGGAGCUAAUACCGGAUAAUAUUUUGAACCGCAUGGUUCAAAAGUGAAAGACGGUCUUGCUGUCACUUAUAGAUGGAUCCGCGCUGCAUUAGCUAGUUGGUAAGGUAACGGCUUACCAAGGCAACGAUGCAUAGCCGACCUGAGAGGGUGGUAGGCCACACUGGAACUGAGACACGGUCCAGACUCCUACGGGAGGCAGCAGUAGGGAAUCUUCCGCAGUGGGCGAAAGCCUGACGGAGCAACGCCGCGUGAGUGAUGAAGGUCUUCGGAUCGUAAAACUCUGUUAUUAGGGAAGAACAUAUGUGUAAGUAACUGUGCACAUCUUGACGGUACCUAAUCAGAAAGCCACGGCUAACUACGUG